GUGCAUCAGUUGGACGAGGUGCCUGGCCUCCUUGCGAGCUGCGAGCCAAAAAGAAGUAGUGAGGUUCACUCAAAAGAAAAGCAGUGAGGAUGAGCGGCGCAGGAUCGGUCGGACCUGGGGGCAUGCAUCAUGCAUGGCGCAGGUGGCGGAGGAAGGCUGUGGGCGUCUGAAUCGAGUCGGAGGCGAGGCUGUUGGCCGGAUCCGGAGCACGGACCGGCUACUGGGCGGGCGGCCAGAUCGGGCGACGGCAGAAGAGCUCCAGGGGGCCCAUCCAUGGCUGUCCUCACCGACGCGGGGGGCGGCCGGGGGGGGGGGGUCCCUGGAGGGCACCAGCGGGCCACGCAGUCGGAUCUAGCAGCCGACGGAUUAAGACGGAGAGGCGGCGACCUUCGUUGCCGGGCUCCCUGAAGAAAACGUGUGAGAGAGAUUAGAGAGAGAAGGGGAAGAGAGGGAGGGGCAGGCAUCGGCUUGGCCUGCUUGCGCGCGGUUGGAGGAGGCAGGGCCCUUACCUCGAUCUGGCGCCACGGUCCCUAGGGCGUGCGGAGGACAGGAGGAGGGAAGAGAGAUGGGGGUGUG
Molecule: long non-coding RNA, 576 nt
Filed under: Triticum aestivum (bread wheat)
Lineage: Eukaryota; Viridiplantae; Streptophyta; Magnoliopsida; Poales; Poaceae
Description: long non-coding RNA (TAES_LNC005918)
Source: RNAcentral